This 253-nucleotide ribosomal RNA is filed under the name uncultured bacterium. RNAcentral's name for it is "partial 16S ribosomal RNA". It matches the Rfam family "Bacterial small subunit ribosomal RNA", at positions 524 to 776 of the family's 1533-position model. The record is from RNAcentral.
UACGUAGGGUGCAAGCGUUAAUCGGAAUUACUGGGCGUAAAGCGUGCGCAGGCGGUUGUGCAAGACAGAUGUGAAAUCCCCGGGCUCAACCUGGGAACUGCAUUUGUGACUGCACGGCUGGAGUGCGGCAGAGGGGGAUGGAAUUCCGCGUGUAGCAGUGAAAUGCGUAGAGAUGUGGAGGAACACCGAUGGCGAAGGCAGCCCCCUGGGCUGACACUGACGCUCAGGCACGAAAGCGUGGGGAGCAAACAGG